UAAUGUAACGUGUGGCUCCUUAUGUCAGGA
RNAcentral lists this non-coding RNA (30 nucleotides) under Rattus norvegicus (Norway rat). The record is from RNAcentral. Lineage: Eukaryota; Metazoa; Chordata; Mammalia; Rodentia; Muridae.